GCUGCAGUUUCAGGACCGGAGGCUGCAGUUUCAGGACCGCAGUUCUAGGACCCUUCAAUUUUCGUCACAGCGCCACCCACGGUUAGAAGGAGUAGAGAGGAUGAGAUGAGAUAAAGUGAGUAUCUACGGUUAGGAGGAGUAACCUUAGAGAGGACCAGAUGACAGAACGAUGCUUAUUUCAAUACAAAGCGGGCGAUCACUGCCAGACAUGCUGCAACAAAUUUCAUUGUCCGUUCUGCAGCUUAACAGUUUAUCAACCCACGAAGUUGAGCAAAGUACAGGCUCACCUGGACAGCCACUUCACUCGUGCACUUGGCCAUGAAGACAUGGCCAGAGAUUUGCCUGCUGGACUAAUGAGGCCAGAAGCCUGCUCCAGGGAACUCUCCAGCCAGUAUUCAGAGUACCAAAAUGGAGAGCCCCAACCGAGGAUGUUCCUGCUCACAUCCAGGCAGUCAGUGAUCGUACACAGAAUGAAGAAAAACUUGUGAACUUCAUCAUACGGUCACAGGGAGCAGCGCAGCAUUUGGUGGCACUCAUAUAUAGAUUGGCUGUGCUAAAGGGGCUGUCCUCACAGGAGGCUGAGCAGGAAUAUCUUUCCGGUCCAGUCUAUGAUCAAAGUGAAGUGGAGGACUUCAUACAGAGGCUGGCAAGGAGAAGGAAGAUGGAGGGAUAGAAU
This is a long non-coding RNA of Epinephelus moara (kelp grouper), 676 nucleotides long. RefSeq lists it as uncharacterized. The transcript is spliced from 5 exons. The record is from RefSeq and is a predicted model, not a curated record. NCBI's taxonomy places the organism in Eukaryota, Metazoa, Chordata, Actinopteri, Perciformes, Serranidae.